UACAGAGGGUGCGAGCGUUGUCCGGAAUCACUGGGCGUAAAGCGCGUGUAGGCGGCUCGGUAAGUCCGCUGUGAAAGUCGGGGGCUCAACCCUCGGAUGCCGGUGGAUACUGUCGGGCUAGAGUACGGAAGAGGCGAGUGGAAUUCCUGGUGUAGCGGUGAAAUGCGCAGAUAUCAGGAGGAACACCAAUUGCGAAGGCAGCUCGCUGGGACGUUACUGACGCUGAGACGCGAAAGCGUGGGGAGCAAACAGG
Molecule: ribosomal RNA, 253 nt
Filed under: uncultured bacterium
Lineage: Bacteria
Description: partial 16S ribosomal RNA
Rfam family: Bacterial small subunit ribosomal RNA
Source: RNAcentral